GCAAUGGUGGUUCAGUGGUAGAAUUCUUACCUUCCAUGUGGGAGACCCAGGUUCUAUUCCCUGCCAAUGCA
RNAcentral lists this transfer RNA (71 nucleotides) under Loxodonta africana (African savanna elephant). It matches the Rfam family "tRNA". Rfam says of the family: Transfer RNA (tRNA) molecules are approximately 80 nucleotides in length. Their secondary structure includes four short double-helical elements and three loops (D, anti-codon, and T loops). Lineage: Eukaryota; Metazoa; Chordata; Mammalia; Proboscidea; Elephantidae. The record is from Rfam by way of RNAcentral.